This 508-nucleotide ribosomal RNA is filed under the name uncultured bacterium. Its description in RNAcentral is "partial 16S ribosomal RNA". It matches the Rfam family "Bacterial small subunit ribosomal RNA", at positions 30 to 523 of the family's 1533-position model. The record is from RNAcentral.
AUUGAACGCUGGCGGCAUGCCUAACACAUGCAAGUCGAACGGCAGCAUGAAUAGGGGUAACCUUAUUUGAUGGCGAGUGGCGGACGGGUGAGUAAUAUGUAGGAAUCUACCUAGAGGAGGGGGAUAACUUGGGGAAACCCAAGCUAAUACCACAUAAGCCCUACGGGGGAAAGCAGGGGACCGCAAGGCCUUGCGCCUUAUGAUGAGCCUACAUCGGAUUAGCUAGUUGGUGGGGUAAAGGCCUACCAAGGCGACGAUCCGUAGCUGGUCUGGGAGGAUGAUCAGCCACACUGGGACUGAGACACGGCCCAGACUCCUACGGGAGGCAGCAGUGGGGAAUAUUGGACAAUGGGCGAAAGCCUGAUCCAGCAAUGCCGCGUGUGUGAAGAAGGCCUUAGGGUUGUAAAGCACUUUCAGUAGGGAGGAAGGGUGUAACGCUAAUAUCGUUGCACAUUGACGUUACCUACAGAAGAAGCACCGGCUAACUCUGUGCCAGCCGCCGCCGUAA